Molecule: signal recognition particle RNA, 96 nt
Filed under: Ignavibacteria bacterium CG2_30_36_16
Lineage: Bacteria; Pseudomonadati; Ignavibacteriota; Ignavibacteria
Also listed under: 1 other name
Description: signal recognition particle sRNA small type
Rfam family: Bacterial small signal recognition particle RNA
About the family: The signal recognition particle (SRP) is a universally conserved ribonucleoprotein involved in the co-translational targeting of proteins to membranes. Archaeal SRP consists of a 7S RNA and homologues of the eukaryotic SRP19 and SRP54 proteins.
Source: RNAcentral
AUAUGGGCGCCGGUUGGCAGGUAAUUGCCCAACUCCGUCAGGUCCGGAAGGAAGCAGCGGUAAGUGAAAGCUUGUGCAGCCGGUUGCCCAAUUUUU